This 459-nucleotide long non-coding RNA is filed under the name Ananas comosus (pineapple). RNAcentral's name for it is "long non-coding RNA (ACOM_LNC044885)". The record is from RNAcentral. Lineage: Eukaryota; Viridiplantae; Streptophyta; Magnoliopsida; Poales; Bromeliaceae.
GGAGAGGAUAGAUCUAGCUCACAGUCUGCGUUUAGGGUGGCAUAGCCAUCCAAUCCCCACAUGGAGGGGAUUGUCGUCGAGUACUCCGGAGUGUCGCGCGACUAGGACCACUUGGAGGUCCGGACCACAUGGAGGUCCGCAGACGGUCCCGGGCUUGGGUGCACUUGGAGCUCCCUCCCCACUUUGGGAUUGAAAGGUGAGUCAUGGGCGAGCCCUAGGGCCUCGCCACAGUUUGGGUAAAUGAAAGGUUAAAGGUUUAAUAAAUGUCAUUGAACAUAGCUAUUCGAACAUGGAUCGAAUUUGUUAGCCUGGUAGCAAACCUUUAUUAUAUGAUGCAUGCAUUCAUAUUCAUGAUUAUGGGCAUAAUAGCAUAGUUUUCCUACUACCGCAUUUACAGCUUUCAGAUAUCUAUCUAUCUAUCUACCUAUUGUUGCUUGUGCCCACUUGGACCUAGUGGGG